AUGGAGCUUUAGACACCAAAGAAUAUCCUGUCAAGUAACCCCCCACAAGGGCCUGAACUAAUGGAAUCCUUCCCUAAUGUCUUUGGUUGGGGCGACCGCGGGGAAACAAAAAACCCCCACGUGGAAAGGGAGCACCCCCUCCUACAACUAAGAGCCGCAGCUCUAAUUAACAGAAUAUCUGACCAAUAAGAUCCGGCAAUGUCAAUCAACGGACCG
Molecule: ribosomal RNA, 216 nt
Filed under: Sebastes nigrocinctus (tiger rockfish)
Lineage: Eukaryota; Metazoa; Chordata; Actinopteri; Perciformes; Sebastidae
Description: partial 16S ribosomal RNA
Source: RNAcentral